RNAcentral lists this ribosomal RNA (2774 nucleotides) under Pinus taeda (loblolly pine). RNAcentral's name for it is "bacterial LSU rRNA". The stretch from base 1381 to 2744 matches the Rfam family "Bacterial large subunit ribosomal RNA". The record is from RNAcentral. Lineage: Eukaryota; Viridiplantae; Streptophyta; Pinopsida; Pinales; Pinaceae.
NNNNNNNNNNNNNNNNNNUUACCCAAAACGGGGGCCCACAAUUUGGCGUUUCAUCUUCUAAGGGUCGGUUUUGGAAUGUGAAGGGUUUUCCAUUGUUUCUCAAUAAUAAAUAGGCCUUCGAGCCUCAUUGUAACACAAGUUCGGAACAGUUCAGAGACAUGUAGCCGCACAUCUCUUCUCAGAGAUAAGCUACCAUAGUCCUAGCUGGUUUAUUUCAAAUUCUGGUUGUAAGCAUAUUUCGGUAUUUUCCAUUAAUGAAAUGAAGUGUUAUUUCCGCUGCAUCUCUUUAUUUAUGGUUAUCGCAUCUCUGUAUUUAUGGUUAUCUCUGUAAUCUAUUGCGUUCCUAUUUAAAUCCGGAUCAGUAAUCGUCUAAAGCUGGCAGAACUAUACUUGGCCGAUGAUGAUAUAGCACGAUCAGCCAAACUUAGUCGCAGAUGCUGGAACACCAGGAACAACAUGAAGAGCUUUAAGGAACAGUUGAGAUUUACCAAAUCAACAACAACAACGGAAGAACCAAGGAUAGUACAAGGACCCCGAGGAGAUAGACGAAGACUACCAGUUUUGCAACAGCGGAAGGAUCCGAUUAAACAAAGGAUGACAAAGAUAUACAUUGUUGUAACAGUAUGCUAUAACAGGAAUUGAUUUCCUAUUUUUUGUACAGAAGGAUCAAACUGAAUGAAUAAUGACAAUCUAUUGUAAUAGAUGUCUCCUCUAUAAAGAGGAGACAUCUAUAGUUGAAAGCUAGAAAGAUAUAACGGAAGUAUUGUAGUGCAGAGCAGUCUGAACUUCUAUUGUAAUUGGACUUUUUGGCAGAUGAAUAAAGCACUGUUCUGAGCAUUUUAACUUAGCAUCUGUGUUCAGGGGAAUCUUGUGAGAGGGACAAGGCCCACCUUCUUCACAAGAUUCAUCCAUUUCUUUCUUGUUAAGUGUGUGUGUGAUUUCUGUACAUUUUUAGCCUUGCUUCUGAUAUUUCCUUUUUGCUGAUACUCUGUUUCCUUGAUCGAUUGGCACUGUGAGUAGUGUGUCACCGGUGAUUAGGAUUUUUCAGUGUGUAUUGGCAACUGGUCACAGAGGCAGGUGCUGGACAUCCUUAUUCUGAGGACAAGGUCCUGGUCCUCUGUUACAAAUGACCAUUAUUUCUUUCUGCGGAUUUGUUACCAUUAAUUAAUUUCCUUUCAUCUCUGCAAUAGUUUAUAACUGCUGUAACAAAGAGUAAGGGUUUGAUAGGAAGUAGAUCUGUUUAUACUACAGCCUUUAAUUCUUUUAGAAUUAAGUGCAUAUAGUACGAGGUCACCUUUGAAACAAAAGGACUUUCCCGGGUUGACAAUUUAAUGUGGUACUCGACUGUUUAAUCAAUAAACAAUUCGAGUAGCCAACAUUUUCCAUCCUCAACCCCUUCCCAAUAAAAGGGGUAAGGAUCAAUUAGUGAGACAAUGGGGCUUCCCCAUGCCAUUCUACUAGGAAAAGAUUGAAUGACCUUCAACAAAUGAGUACAUGUACAUGAAACUGGCACAGGUAGGUAGGUAGAGAAUAACAUAGGGGCGUGAGACAAUUCUCUAUAAGGAACUUGGAAAAAUAGCCAUGUAACUUCAGGAGAAGGGGUACCUCCUUAGGGGCUCGUAGUGACGAGGUCCGUACAUCUGUUGACCAAAAACACAGGUCUCUGUAAAGUCGCAAGACCAUGCGUGGGGGUUGACACCUGCCUAGUGCUAGAAGGUUAAGGAAGUUGGUGACCUGAUGAUGGGGAAGUUAGUGAUUGAAGCCCCAGUGAACGAAAGUCAUAAAUAUAACAGUGUUAGGUAGAGAAAUUCCUUUUUGGGUAAGUUCCAACUUGCAUAAAAGGCAUAACAAUCUGGGCAUUGUCUCGGAGAGAGACUCGAUGAAAUAAACAUGUUUGUGAAGAUGUGGGCUGCCUACACCUGGACAGAAAGACCCUAAAGCUUUAUUUUUCCCUGGGAUUGUCUUUGUGUUCCUCUUCCCCGACUUAGGUGGAGGGCAAAGAAGGCCCCCUUUCAGGGGGGCCUGAGUCACUAGUGAGAUACCACUCUAGAAGAGCUAGAAUUCUAACUUUGCAUUAUUACUUAUGGGCCAACGAACAGUCUCAGGUAGAGAGUUUCUAUGGGGCAUAGGCCUCUGAAAUGGUAACGAAGGCAAGCAAAUGUUUUCUUGGGAUAGAUGGAAAUCAACCCUCAAGUGCAAAGGUGGAAGGGAGCUUGACUGCAAGACCCACCUGUCAAGUAGGGACAAAAGUCAGCCUUAGUGAUCUGACGGUGUUGAGUGGAAGGAUUGUCCCUAAAUGGAUAAAAAUUACUCUUGGGAUAACAUGGUUAUAUUCCCUAAUAUUUGACAUUAAGAGGAAGGUUUGGCACCUCGAAGUUGGCUCUUCACCACCUGGUGUAGUAGUACGUUCCAAGGGUUGUGUUGUUCGCCCAUUAAAGCAGUAUGUGAGUUCCGUUCAGAAUGGCAUGAGAUAGUUCAUUCCAUAUCCGAUGUGGGCAUUAGAGCAUUAAGAGGACCUUUCCCUAGUACGAGAGGAUUAGGAAGGACACACCUGUGGGGUACCAGUUAUCAUGCCCACGAUAGACAUUGGGUAGCAAAGUGCAAAGAGGAUAACUAUUGAAAGCAUAUAAGUAGAAAUUCCACCCCAAGAUAAGUGCUCUCUUAUUCUUACUUCCCUGAGAUCCCCUAGUCACAAACACAUUUGGGACAACGACAAUUUCUUUGUCCUUGCAGGGGAUGGAGCAACAAAAGUAUUAAGAAUACAAGACAAGGUC